RNAcentral lists this ribosomal RNA (2831 nucleotides) under Millerozyma farinosa. RNAcentral's name for it is "large subunit ribosomal RNA". It matches the Rfam family "Bacterial large subunit ribosomal RNA". Lineage: Eukaryota; Fungi; Ascomycota; Pichiomycetes; Serinales; Debaryomycetaceae. The record is from RNAcentral.
AUGAUAAUAAUAUCAUUUAAUAGAAUAUAAUACUAAUAUUUAAAUAUGAUAAAAAGGAUCUUUAAUAAGAUCCAAUCAAAGCAUGAAAAUGUAAGGUAGAAAUUAAGUGGAAUGAAACAUCUGAGUAACUUAAAAGUAACCAACAGGGGCUAUAUUAGUAUCGGUGAGAGAAAGUAUAGUAGUCUUAAAGUAAUAUCAAGAGGUAUGAAUAUAGUAGUGUCUACUACUAAGACAAUAAAUAAAUAUUAAGUAAAAAGUACCGUAAGGGAAAGUAUUGAAAUUGAAUGAUAAAGAGCAGUCAUAGUAUGGCGUACCUUUUGUAUAAUGGGCCAGUGAGUUAUUUAUAUUAGCGAAAUAUUAUAAAUUUUAAAGAAAUUGAGAAUUUAACAAUCUACAGUUAAUAUAAAUAGGCCCGAAAGCAAACGAUUUACACAUCUCUAAGUAUAUUUAUUUAUUUAUAUAUAAAUAUGACUGAAUAGGUGGAUGUUGCAAUAUCCUCUAAAGAGAGGUGUGUGGUGGUGACAGACAAAUCUGGUUUGCAGAUAGCUGGUUUUCUGCGAAAUAUAUUUUAGUAUAGCCUAUUUUAAAAGUAAAAACUGGUACAGCACUUAAAUUUAUAAUUUAGGGGAUUAGAAAUAAUUUUACUAAAAGAUUUAAACCUCGGAAACAGUAUUUUAUUUAAAAUGGAGUCAGACUUAUUGCGAUAAGGUAGUAGGUCUAAAUGGAAACAACCAAGAUUAUUAACCAAAUGUCCCAUAAUAUAUGUUAAGUGAACUUAAUCAUUUUUUUUUAUAAGACAAUCAGUCAGCGGGUUUGACAAUAAUCACCUGUUAAUGGACAUGUAACAAUGCACUGAUUUGAUAAUUUUAUUUGAGAUAAUAUACGGGUCUAAACAUAUUACAUUGGUAUAAUUUUAAAUAUUUAUACAUAUUUAAAAGGUAGCAGAAUAUAUGAUGAAAAUAAAAAUCAUAAAGAAUAUGCUGGCUUGAGUAACGAUAGAUAGUAUAAGACUAUCCCCCUAAAUCAUAAGGUUUAACUAUAAACGAACGGACCCUAAGAUGAAGCAGAAAUGUGAAAUUGAUGGGAGAAAGAACAAGAAAAGGAAAAGGAACCGUACUGUAGACCGACACAGGUAUGAUAAAGGGGAAUGAGAUAACUACUAUGAAUGAACUCGGCAAAUAAGUGUAAAGCUUUAAGUCGUGCGACUGUUUACCAAAAACAUAGCUUAUUGCAUAUUAGCAAUAAUAAGUAUAAUAAGUGAUAUCUGCCCGGUGUAUGCUGAAUAAUUAAUUUAUAUUAACGUAUAAUUAAGAAAAAGUAUGUAAACGGCGGUCUUAUUGUGAGGAUCCGAAGGUAGCGAAAUUCAUUGACGCAUAAUUGGUGUCCUGCAUGAAUGAAUACACGAUGCGACUACUGUAUCCAUAGUAGACUCAGUGAAAUAGUAUUCGCGGUGAAGAUACCGUGUAACCGUAGAUUGACAAAAAGACCCUAUGCAGCUUUACUAUCUCCCUAUUUUGUAUUCUUUCUUUAUUUUUUUCAGUUUAUUAGGUUUUUAUUAAUUAACUCAGUGAGAUACCUAUAUUAAUAAAGAAGAAUUCUUAUCAUUUUUAUUAUUAUCCUUAAUAAUAUUCUUUGAGACAUAAUAAGGUUGUUAGUUUCGAUGGGGCGUCGACAUCAGCGAAAGCAUCUGAUGUGUCUAUUAAUCUUUUAUUAUAUUAAUCUUUUUAAUUAAUAGUUAUACUCCGUACAAUAAUUCUCUAUCUAGCAAAUAGAAACUAUUUAAUGUUAUGUAAGGAUAACAACAUAAUUGUGCGUUGAUAAUAACACUAACAAGUGGAAUUAGUACUUACGUAGAGUGUAGUGAACAGGCAUAUUCAAUAGAUAAGGAUGUCGAUAACGGAUUAAAGUUACGCUAGGGAUUAACUGUUAGUCCCAUAACUUGGUGACAAGUUAUAUAAAUUAAUUGGGUGAAUUGCAAAAAUAUCUCAUUGAGACAAUUUGCAGCGAAGUAUAUACUAGCUUUUAUUAGGUAUAUAAACGUUCAACGACUAGAAGAUGAGUAAGCUAACAAUAAUUCUUCCACGAGUGCCCAACAUCUUUUAUAUUAAAAGAUGAUGACAUAGUCUGAACAUUAUGGCAACAUAAUGAUAUAUUAUUUAAAUGAUAAUAUGGUAACAUAAUUGAACAGGGUAAUACCGCGUGAGAGUUGAUAUCGUCAGCGGUGUUUGCCACCUCGAUUAAAUUUACGAUAGUUGAGGUUAAAUGGGGUUAAUUGCAAGGAAAUCUAAGGUUUAUAUUUAAACUAUGACAACUUGCAGCGAAUUUAAUUAUAUAUGCUCUUAUUGAGAAAGUAAUUAAAACGUUCAACGACUAGUAGGUGAGUAAUAUAACAAUAACCCUACCACGAAAUCCCAAAUAAUUAUACUUUUUAUUUAAAUAUAGAAAUUAUAAUUAUUAAGACAUAGUCUGAACUAUAUAGAAAUAUAUAGAAGUUAAUAUAAAGAGAUUAACGAUAACAAUAAUGGUCGUCUAAACUCAUCCUCCCGGUAGCAGCAACUGGGUAGGGUAGGACUGUUCGUCCUCUAAGGAGUUACUUGAGAUGGGUUAAUUACGACGUGAGUCAGUAAUGAUUUUAUCAUCUAUGGUUUUAACUUAUUUUUAUAGCCUCAAGUGUACGAAAGGAUAGUGAGGUGUUUUCCUAUGGUUUUUUGUUAAUAAUUAUUUUAUUAUUAACAUUUUAGCUAAGAAAAUAAUGAUUACAUAUUGAAUGCAUCUCAAAUAUUAAAUCUUAUAAAUAAUAAGUUCACAUACGAGACUAGUAUGUAAUAGUU